This 460-nucleotide ribosomal RNA is filed under the name uncultured bacterium. RNAcentral describes it as "partial 16S ribosomal RNA". It matches the Rfam family "Bacterial small subunit ribosomal RNA", at positions 338 to 795 of the family's 1533-position model. The record is from RNAcentral.
CCUACGGGAGGCAGCAGUGAGGAAUAUUGGUCAAUGGGCGAGAGCCUGAACCAGCCAAGUCGCGUGAAGGAUGACGGCCCUACGGGUUGUAAACUUCUGUUGUCAGGGAGCAAUUGGGUCCACGCGUGGGCUUAGCGAGAGUACCUGAAGAAAAAGCAUCGGCUAACUCCGUGACAGCAGCCGCGGUAAUACGGAGGAUGCGCGCGUUAUCCGGAUUUAUUUGGUUUAACGGGUGCGUAGGCGGAAUAUCAAGUCAGCGGUAAAAAUUCGGGGCUGAACCCCGUCGUGCCGUUGAAACUGAUGUUCUUGAGUGGGCGAGAAGUAUGCGGAAUUCGUGGUGUAGCGGUGAAAUGCAUAGAUAUCACGCAGAACUCCGAUUGCGAAGGCAGCAUACCGGCGCCCAACUGACGCUGAAGCACGAAAGCGUGGGUAUCGAACAGGAUUAGAUACCCCAGUAGUC